Brienomyrus brachyistius is the source of this 378-nucleotide long non-coding RNA. RefSeq lists it as uncharacterized. NCBI's taxonomy places the organism in Eukaryota, Metazoa, Chordata, Actinopteri, Osteoglossiformes, Mormyridae. The record is from RefSeq and is a predicted model, not a curated record. The transcript is spliced from 3 exons.
AGGGUUCGCCUUCGUUGCCUUUUGAGCACACGGCUCAGUGUUUGCCUUCCAGCUCUGCUUUUCUCUACUGCCUCUCUUUUCCAGUCCUCCGCACUCGGCUUAUUGGUCCCAUGAACGCCGCGUCCUGCAGCCGCCUCAUCACUCAGCUGUCCAAAGUGAUGACAGCUACCGGUGGCGUACUGUCUAACGGACUCAGUGACCACUGGGCGGCCGUUUGUACACCGACGGUACUGUGGAAGUAAACGCUACGGGUACCCGUGUGUCGAAAAUCUGCACCCUGAAAAGUCCACACUUCUGUCUCCAGGCCAGGACAUGAGCUGCAUGCCUUAGAAACCCAAGGUCCACGGAACCAGUGAAACCACGCGCCCUAUACUGCAC